AAUAAGGUGCCUGAUAAAAAGGAUUAUUUUGAUAGAAUAAAAAAUGUAUUUAAAUACCCUUAUUA
This 65-nucleotide transfer RNA is filed under the name Sphedanolestes impressicollis. RNAcentral's name for it is "tRNA-Ile". Lineage: Eukaryota; Metazoa; Arthropoda; Insecta; Hemiptera; Reduviidae. The record is from RNAcentral.